GGACUACAGGGGUAUCUAAUCCUGUUUGCUCCCCACGCUUUCGCGCCUGAGCGUCAGCCGUCGGCCAGGGCACUGCCUUCGCCAUUGGUGUUCUUCCGGAUCUCUACGCAUUUCACCGCUCCACCCGGAGUUCCAUGCCCCUCUCCGACGCUCAAGCCUCCCCGUCUGAAAGGACCUCUCCCAGUUAAGCCGGGAGCUUUCACCCCUCACGCGGGAGGCCGCCUGCGCGCCCUUUACGCCCAGUAACUCCGGACAACGCUCGUCUCCUACGUAUUACCGCGGCUGCUGGCAC
RNAcentral lists this ribosomal RNA (292 nucleotides) under uncultured bacterium. Its description in RNAcentral is "partial 16S ribosomal RNA". The record is from RNAcentral.